This 1668-nucleotide ribosomal RNA is filed under the name Solegnathus hardwickii (Hardwicke's pipefish). RNAcentral describes it as "16S ribosomal RNA". It matches the Rfam family "Bacterial large subunit ribosomal RNA". Lineage: Eukaryota; Metazoa; Chordata; Actinopteri; Syngnathiformes; Syngnathidae. The record is from RNAcentral.
UACCUCAAAGCUAGCCCCUAACUAUAAAGCAAUAUAAAACUAUUUAUACCCCCUUAAGCACUAACAAAUAAUUAAACAAACCAUUUUUCCCCCCAAGUAUGGGAGACAGAAAAGGAACUAGGAGCCAUAGAAUAAGUACCGCAAGGGAAAGAUGAAAGAGAAAUGAAAUAACUCAGCCAAGUAAAUAAAAGCAGAGUUUUAAUCUCGUACCUUUUGCAUCAUGAUUUAGCAAGUAAGCAUCAAGCAAAGAGCACUUAAGUUUGAACACCCGAAAUCAAGUGAGCUACUCCGAGACAGCCUAAAUAUAGGGCAAACCCGUGUCUGUGGCAAAAGACUGGGGAGAGCUCCGAGUAGAGGUGAUAAACCUACCGAACUAGAUUAUAGCUGGUUGUCUGAGAAAUGGAUAGAAGUUCAGCCUACUUACUUCCCAUCUCAACCAAUACAACUAUAAGAACCAAGAGAAGUGAGCAGAGUUAAUCAAAAGGGGUACAGCCCUUUUGAUAUAAGACACAACUUUUUCAGGAGGGUAAAGAUCACAACCACAUUAAAGGUUAAUGCCUCAGUGGGCCUAAAAGCAGCCAUCUCAUAAGAAAGCGUUAAAGCUCAAGCAUCAACGCCCCAUAAAUUCAGAUAACCCCUCUUAACCCCCUAAAACUAUCAGACCAUCCCACAACUACUGAGGGAGGGAUCAUGCUAAUAUGAGUAAUAAGAAGGCUAAGACCUUCUCCUACCACAAGUGUAAUUCGGAACGAACUCACACCGAAAAAUAACGGCCCCAAAACCAGAGGGAAUUGAAAACAAAUAAACAAGAAAAAACAUCAACCCUACACCGUUAACCUUACACCAGAGUGCUAACAAGGAAAGACUAAACGGAAAAGAAGGAACUCGGCAAACAUAUUUAGCCUCGCCUGUUUACCAAAAACAUCGCCUCUUGUCCAACCAAAAUAAGAGGUCCCGCCUGCCCUGUGACUAAACGUUUAACGGCCGCGGUAUUUUGACCGUGCAAAGGUAGCGCAAUCACUUGUCUUUUAAAUAGAGACCUGUAUGAAUGGCACGACGAGGGCUUAACUGUCUCCUUAUCCGAGUCAAUGAAAUUGAUCUCCCCGUGCAGAAGCGGGUGUAACAACAUAAGACGAGAAGACCCUAUGGAGCUUUAAAUGGGUGGGUAACCUACGUUAAAAACCUUGGCUAAAAGAAUGAACUAAGUAAACCUUACCCACAUAUUUUUGGUUGGGGCGACCGCGGAGUAAAACCUAACCCCCGCGAGGAACGAGGAAUCCUUAAAACCACGAGCAUCAGCUCUAAGUAUCAAAACAUUUGACCUUUAGACCCGGCAAAGCCGAUCAACGAACCGAGUUACCCUAGGGAUAACAGCGCAAUCCUCUUUCAGAGUCCCUAUCGACAAGAGGGUUUACGACCUCGAUGUUGGAUCAGGACAUCCCAAUGGUGCAGCCGCUAUUAAUGGUUCGUUUGUUCAACGAUUAAAGUCCUACGUGAUCUGAGUUCAGACCGGAGUAAUCCAGGUCAGUUUCUAUCUAUGAUAUGACCUUCUCCAGUACGAAAGGACCGAGAAGAAGGGGCCAAUGCUCAAAGUAAGCCUCACCCCUACCUGAUGAAGACAUCUAAAACAGGUAGCAGGGCAUAACCCUUACUCGUAAAUAACGACAU